CUCGGGGCCGCCCUCGCGGGCGCCCAGAGGACACCAAUCGAAACUCUGCAUCUCAUGCGUCGGAGUCAUUAUGUGAAUCAAUCAAAACUUUCAACAACGGAUCUCUUGGUUCUGGCAUCGAUGAAGAACGCAGCGAAAUGCGAUAAGUAAUGUGAAUUGCAGAAUUCAGUGAAUCAUCGAAUCUUUGAACGCACAUUGCGCCCCCUGGCAUUCCGGGGGCAUGCCCGUUCGAGCGUCAUUACACCACUCAAGCCUGGCUUGGUAUUGGGCGUCGGGAUGCACCCGCGCCUCUAUGUUUGUUCGGCUGGACGGUUGGAAUCUCAGCGUUGUGCAAUCAAUCCGCUGUGGGACCUGACUGGACGCGCCGUGAAAAUCUCAUCACAGGUUGACCUCGGAUCGGGUAGGGAUACCCGCUGAACUUAA
RNAcentral lists this ribosomal RNA (423 nucleotides) under uncultured fungus. Its description in RNAcentral is "eukaryotic LSU rRNA". The stretch from base 86 to 238 matches the Rfam family "5.8S ribosomal RNA". The record is from RNAcentral. Lineage: Eukaryota; Fungi.